GAUGAACGCUGGCUACAGGCUUAACACAUGCAAGUCGUGGGGAAACGGCAUUAUGUGCUUGCACAUUCUGGACGUCGGCCGGCGCACGGGUGAGUAUCGCGUAUCCAACCUGCCCCUUACUUGGGGAUACCCCGUUGAAAGACGGCCUAAUACCCGAUGUGUUUCAUUGACGGCAUCCGAUAUGAAACAAAGGUUUUCCGGUAAGGGAUGGGGAUGCGUCUGAUUAGCUUGUUGGCGGGGCAACGGCCCACCAAGGCGACGAUCAGUAGGGGUUCUGAGAGGAAGGUCCCCCACAUUGGAACUGAGACACGGUCCAAACUCCUACGGGAGGCAGCAGUGAGGAAUAUUGGUCAAUGGACGCAAGUCUGAACCAGCCAAGUAGCGUGCAGGAUGACGGCCCUAUGGGUUGUAAACUGCUUUUAUGUGGGAAUAAAGUGGCGCACGUGUGCGCCAUUGCAUGUACCUCAUGAAUAAGGACCGGCUAAUUCCGUGCCAGCAGCCGCGGUAAUACGGAAGGUCCGGGCGUUAUCCGGAUUUAUUGGGUUUAAAGGGAGUGUAGGCGGUCUGUUAAGCGUGUUGUGAAAUUUAGGUGCUCAACAUUUAACUUGCAGCGCGAACUGUCAGACUUGAGUACACGCAGCGCAGGCGGAAUUCAUGGUGUAGCGGUGAAAUGCUUAGAUAUCAUGAGGAACUCCGAUCGCGAAGGCAGCCUGCGGGAGUGUUACUGACGCUUAAGCUCGAAGGUGCGGGUACCGAACAGG
This 761-nucleotide ribosomal RNA is filed under the name Prevotella nigrescens. RNAcentral's name for it is "bacterial SSU rRNA". It matches the Rfam family "Bacterial small subunit ribosomal RNA", at positions 28 to 776 of the family's 1533-position model. Lineage: Bacteria; Pseudomonadati; Bacteroidota; Bacteroidia; Bacteroidales; Prevotellaceae. The record is from RNAcentral.